This 254-nucleotide ribosomal RNA is filed under the name uncultured prokaryote. RNAcentral describes it as "partial 16S ribosomal RNA". It matches the Rfam family "Bacterial small subunit ribosomal RNA", at positions 524 to 776 of the family's 1533-position model. The record is from RNAcentral.
UACGGGGGGAGCAAGCGUUGUUCGGAUUUACUGGGCGUAAAGGGCGCGUAGGCGGCCACGACAAGUCACUGGUGAAAUCUCCGGGCUUAACCCGGAACGGUCAAGUGAUACUGUCGGGCUAGAGUGCAGAAGGGGCAACUGGAAUUCUCGGUGUAGCGGUGAAAUGCGUAGAUAUCGAGAGGAACACCUGAGGUGAAGACGGGUUGCUGGGCUGACACUGACGCUGAGGCGCGAAAGCCAGGGGAGCAAACGGG